CUACAAGCGGUACCACGGGAUUUCCCUUGUGGUCCUGAUCUACAUCAUUCCUGCCACCCUGGCACCAAGCCAGCUGCCUGCCAACACACCUACCGGUCAUGGAUCUGCUGGGACCUAUCUCAGCUACCUUCAGGGGGCAGGCAAGAGUACACCCUGAACUGGUCGCCAGCAGAGAUUCAGCGGCUGAUCCAAGUUCGCGUUCGGGCUUUUCUACAAUAAUAAUAAGUGGAGGAAAAGAAACUCUGGAUUAUGCCUUUAAGAGGGACAAUGACAUAACUGUUUUUCUU
Molecule: long non-coding RNA, 287 nt
Organism: Syngnathoides biaculeatus (alligator pipefish)
Lineage: Eukaryota; Metazoa; Chordata; Actinopteri; Syngnathiformes; Syngnathidae
Exons: 3
Source: RefSeq, a predicted model, not a curated record